GGGGAGUCUCCAGAGACGGUGAACUGGGCCGGUCUGUAAAACCGGUGGCAACGCCUAAGUGGGUUCGAAUCCCUCACUCCCCACCA
Molecule: transfer RNA, 86 nt
Filed under: Acidobacteriota bacterium
Lineage: Bacteria; Pseudomonadati; Acidobacteriota
Description: tRNA-Tyr
Rfam family: tRNA
About the family: Transfer RNA (tRNA) molecules are approximately 80 nucleotides in length.
Source: RNAcentral